AUUACCUGUCCAUCUGACCUGUUUCUGUAAAUCUGAACAACCUAACCAACAUAACUAUAGAAAUGACAAGCAUGGGUGACUAUAAAUCUGUAAACCUUAUCUACCUAAAUAACCUAAGGACCAAGGAUUCACAUUAACAAGAGUGGUUUCUCAGAAGUUUGUGUGGCUGGAAGCGCUGCUGGAGGACACAGAAGUUACAAGGAGAAGAUUAUUAAACACCUGCUGUAUGAAACUACACUUCAUUCCCACACCUGCUGAAACACCUGGUUCCCUGCUUGGGGACAGAGGCACAGAGAGCCCACUUUAAUGAGUUACCUCUUUUGAUUUGAGUCUGAAGAAAAUUUACUAUAGUGGGGGAAAAUUUUCAUAAGUCUUAAGAAAAAUUAUAGCCUGUUAGAUGGAAUAUCAUUUGGCUCAUCUGAACAGAGGUUCAUAUCAUCCACGAAUGGCUGCAUAGUGGUUAUUUUAAUAAUAUUUCCUUUUUUAUUUAUUUUUCUUUGUUUUGUGUUCUUUUUGUUUAUUUAUACCUUCUAUAGCCCAAGCUGCGUUGGAACUCACUAUAUAGCUCAUGUUGGCUUCUAACUCAUGGAAAUCCUUCUGUCUUAUCCUCCAGUGUCUUGAGGUUAUAGUCAUAAGCCAUUGUGCUUUAAUAUUCUUUCUGCUUUUAUUAGAUUUUUUCUCAAUUUUCUAUAAUUAAUAUCAAUGUAUCUUCUAAUGAGGAAAAGUUUUUUUUUAAUAUCAUAUUUUAAGGAAGUGGAGAGAUGGCUCAGCUGCUGAGAAUGUUUGCUGCUCUUGUGGAAGACCCGAGUUUAGUUCCCAGCACCCAUGUAGGGUGGUUCACAGCCACCUGUAGCUCCAGCUCCAGGAGAUCCAACCUCCUCUUCUGGCCUCUGCAGGUACCCACAUGCUCAUACCCACACACAAUUACACGCACAAACAUAUAAAUAAAAAUAGAGCAAACCUCUAAGAAAUAAAUUACAAUUUAAGCAUCUCCUACCUUAAAGGAUUAUAAAAUAGCAAUCAAUUUUGUAAGAUAUUUCAUAGGAGAGUACUGUCUUGUCGUAAUGAUUUCCCGACAGGAGGCUUUCAUUACAGAGAGAUGAAAGCAUGUGUGAGGCAUUCUGUCUCCUGGCAACUACCCUUCCCCCCAAAAUGAAGGUGGAGACAGAUUUCUUCCCUAAGUGUCUCUCUGGAAGUCUUCGCUCUGUCCCAGUCGGGCGGCACUGCUGUUGCCUGGUUCCAAGGGAUAUUUUCAAAUCAUAGAGAUUCAAGUUUGUUGAAGUCUGGACUCACCCUGGGUAUGUACCAGCAGAUUCAUUAGAAGAAGGUGAUGUAGCAGGCAAGUUUGGGAUGGCUCUUGCAUAAACCAUUGCACAGGGACUCUUAACAAGUUCAGUGAUGACCUAAUUACUGUACUCUGUAGGUAACUUGCUCAUUUUUAAAAAUUCUAAAGAUAUUUAUUGCAUGCAAAAACUAAAAAAAAUAUAAGUGAUGAAAAAUUGGUUUCCUUCUCACUUUACUCUUGAUUCUUCAGGUUUUCCAACUGUAAUCAACAUUUGAUUAAUAGGUCCUCAACAUUCUCUCUCCUACUCAUCUGUAUAUGUGUCUACGUGCUUAUGUGUGCAUACAGAUAUGCAUCUACUAUACAUGCAGGAUAAACUCCAAGAAACCGAAUUCUUCAACACUGGAGAAUAAAGCGAUACGUGUGACCAUGAGAUAGAUAGAAGAAUAAAGGCAAACAAAAUGGUGAAAAAUAAGAUCUAAAUGGAAACUUGUCAAAACAGAGAGAAACUUUACAGCAAAGUACAGGUUUUGGGUUCCAAUAGGACUGGAAGGAAAAUAGCAGCUUCCCUGAAGACAGGACUUUAUUUGUUUUGAAAUACAGACUUCCAAGCCACCUUUGUACAAGCUGGUUUUCUCAAUAUUUGGAAACAGCUGCAGGAAGCGUUCCCUAAGUCCACGCUGAUGACAUGGCAUGUUUUGUUUCUUUCCUCUGUCGUUCUGAAGGAAGAAAAGCAAAGUUUCUUUCACUUGAUUAUUCUUUUUUAAUUAAAAAAAUUGAGAUCA
Non-coding RNA from Peromyscus maniculatus bairdii (prairie deer mouse), 2067 nucleotides. Lineage: Eukaryota; Metazoa; Chordata; Mammalia; Rodentia; Cricetidae. The record is from RefSeq and is a predicted model, not a curated record.